GCCAGGGGGUGGCCGGGGGUGGCCACGGCCACCCCCCGUAGAAUCUCGGCCACCCCAUUGGCCACCCCAAGCACCACAUCAGAGCGGUUAAAAGUUUUGACGGCUGUGGAAAAAUGCGGAACCUUUCUCGCACCGCUAGUACACUGUCGGACCCUUUAGCCACGCGCAGCGCGCACACAUCCUGUAUUUGAAUUAAACGGCUCAAGCAUGGCCUGAGAAUGCCUGUUACCACCUGACGCUUCGACCGGCACCUGCGGCUAAGUGAAGAAACGCAAAACAGAAAGAAGGACCCUAGGUGGACAGAGUUUGGACAUACUCAACCAUUGUUUUGUCAACUCCACCCAGGCAGUGCACCAGGAGGAUUUAAUCAAAUAUACCUCAUAUCAGGAUCCACAAACAUGAACAUUUCGCAUAGAGGUAAACAUUGUACAAGAAGAUCGUUCUGAAGUGGUUAUUGUCUAUCCCAAAUGCUACAUCUUCCUUUAUGAAAUGCCUUGAUUCCCAUGAAGAACUCAGCCUUUUAUUUCACCUGUGCAGCCAUCAUGUACAAUUAAGUAAGAACUUUCUAUAGUUUGAAGGACUCAACACAACCCUUUAUUCGGCCCAUAAAAAACUUGAUCUCAUCAAGAGCCAUAUUUAUAUAUAAAUCCAUAUAAAAUAACAAUUUUACAAAUUAAAUAAGUAAAAUAAAAAUACAACAAUAACAAUAAUUUUCCCUUGAUUUCCAAGGCUCAGUUUGUCUAGAAAAGGCUGCUUCUGACACUAUCUUGUCCCAUAGUCAGACUUCAGCAUUUUCCAUUCUGAUUGGUCAAAUGACAAUGACAGCGAGGUCCUUAGCCAUCACAGUGGUCCAUAGUGGCUAGUGCAUGCUGCAAUGUCCCUUAUAAUGCCACAUAGUGAAACUCCCCAUCUCCUAACCAUUUUAUUUUUGUACAGACAAAGAAUCAAUACACUUCAUGAAAUCUACAUUGUUCUUCUUUGAACAGGUUUGAUUUUCUUUCUUCUUUCAAAAGGCAAAUCCAGUCUUUUAGAGCCCAUCUAUUGGUGGAUUGUCAGAUAAUCCGUGGAGUCCGGGGAGUCCGGGGAUAAUCCGGGGAGUCAGGUGGCUGAGCGGUUAGGGAAUCGGUCUAGUAAUCAGAAGGUUGCCGGUUCGAUUCCCCACCAGGCCAAUGACGUUGUGUCCUUGGGCAAGGCACUUCACCCUACUUGCCUCGGGGGAAUGUCCCUGUACUUACUGUAAGUCGCUCUGGAUAAGAGCGUCUGCCAAAUGACUAAAAUGUAAAAUGUAAUCCAACCACUCUAGGGAUAUGAUUGGCUGGCUGGAUCACCCACCUGAUGAAGGUUUGCAGUGUUCUCGUCUGUGGUUGGCUGACCAGCCUGUCAGUCAGCUCGAUGGCUCCUUGAGGAGCAGGAGUCUAAAAUCACAGAGAGUUUCUCUCUUCCUCCUCAUUCCUCUUUCCAAGUGUCUCUACAUCACAGACAGAAAAUUGUUAAUAGACGGACAUCAGACACAAAAGAAAACGAAAUGGCUUUUAUUGCUGCUAUUGUUGGUGCUGUUUCUGGUGCGGCUGGUGCUGCUACUGGAAUCGGGGUGGCCAUUGCUAACUCGAUUCACCAUAACACCCAUGUGGCAAAUGCGUCCAAUGAAGUUCUUCUGAUUCAAAUCCACGGGCCAGGUGGAACCACCAAUGAAGAGAAAGUCAAGCCAGGAGACGUCGCACAUUCUGGCACUGAAAAAGGCCAGGUUGAAAUAAUAGUCUUCAGAGCAGACAAGCCACAUUUGUAUGAGGUCAGAAGGGAACUGCCCUCUGACAUCAGCGUAGUCGUCAAAGAAGUCAAUGGCCAACUUAAAAUUGUACGGGUGAAAUAUGGCACACUUUGGGAGGAAGAUGAGUAAAAUGUGCAAAGCUAUGUAAGCUAUAAUGAUCCCUAAUGACUCGUUAAGGCUGUGACUGACAACCUGUAUGAUAAAAGGAUAAUAAAGCACAGUUGUUUGACAUUA
This is a long non-coding RNA of Osmerus eperlanus (European smelt), 2002 nucleotides long. RefSeq lists it as uncharacterized. The record is from RefSeq and is a predicted model, not a curated record. Lineage: Eukaryota; Metazoa; Chordata; Actinopteri; Osmeriformes; Osmeridae. The transcript is spliced from 4 exons.